UGUAAAAAAACGACAGGUACCAGCGCGUAUGUGUGUCUAAUUCAACUAUCACCAGUGGGACAGAGACAGUGAGGUUGUAAUGCCAGGCAGGGAGCGAGAGCGAGAGGGAAGUAUAGGUGCGAGCAAAGCACGCGCAAGGCAAUUUACACUCAUUAUACAUUUGUCAUUUUACGAAAUGCAAAGAGCAGACACACACACAAGUAGAUAAAUGUCCACACACAUGUAUAGGACGCAGCGCACAAUCGUUCGCUCGCUCGCUCGCUCACACUUCGACGGCAGCGACCCCCCAAUAACAAAACCCAACAACAAUUGUGCCCCCAACGAGUCUGUGGCAAUUAAUUUAAGCGAAAAGAAAAGAAGAGAAGACGAGCGGAAGAGACGUAGAGCGCAUGCUCGGGUCGGGUCGGUCUGCUUUUUGUACAGUUGAACGUGCCAGAGUGAAAAAGAAGCAAAGAAGACACACAACUAAUAAGAAAAAACACGAGCGAAAGCAAUUUCAAGUGGAGCCCAAAAAGAAGAAACCACACACACACACGACAGUCGUUUGGCAAAGCUGAGAGCGAGAGAGCAUUAAUGCAAAUAUAUCAGAGGGGGAGUGGGGAGGCGGCAGCGGAACCUAGCAAGCGUAAAAAUAAUAUGGCGGCGGCUGAGAAUCGGAAAAAAAGCAACGGUCCCAUCAACAUCAGCCAACGCGUCACUGCCCGCGACAACAAAAGCAUAAGCAACAGCAAAAGCAAAAACAACAACAUCGGCAAUCAUCGACGGAAAACGAUGAAUGCUUGUGGAGCAAUGCGAAUGGAGGGGGGAAAGACACAAGCCCACAGCAAAGCAUGCAUACAAAUACACAAAUACACACGGCAUACAAAGAGGUUACAAAAUGAAAAAUGGAAUGCCAAAGACAGGCACAGUGGGACACGGGAAGUUGGCACGGAGUAAAGAAUAUUAAUGUACCAUG
This 955-nucleotide long non-coding RNA is filed under the name Drosophila guanche. The record is from RNAcentral. Lineage: Eukaryota; Metazoa; Arthropoda; Insecta; Diptera; Drosophilidae.